RNAcentral lists this non-coding RNA (21 nucleotides) under Caenorhabditis elegans. Lineage: Eukaryota; Metazoa; Nematoda; Chromadorea; Rhabditida; Rhabditidae. The record is from RNAcentral.
UUUUAAGGUAUUUGUUCUAUA